This 2827-nucleotide small RNA is filed under the name Rattus norvegicus (Norway rat). RNAcentral's name for it is "uncharacterized LOC102556510". Lineage: Eukaryota; Metazoa; Chordata; Mammalia; Rodentia; Muridae. The record is from RNAcentral.
AGUGUCUGGAUUUAUUGUCAGCAGAUGACAUGGAUCCCUAAGUGGACCAGUCCUUGGCUGGCCUUUCCUUCAGUUUCUGCUCCAUUCUUUCCCCCGGCAUUUCUUAUGACAGGAGGAAUUCUAGAUUAGUAGUUUGAGGUGGGUGUGUUGUCCCUCCCUCAACUAGGGGCCAUGUCUAUCCACUGGAUGUAGUCUCUUCAGGUUCUAUCUCCCCUUUGUUAGGUAUUUUGGCUAAAGUCUUUCCCUUUGGGCCCUGGGACUCUCGAGUGGCUACCCUCACUUCUCCUUACCCCACUGCUACACACCUUUCAAAUUAUUGACCCUCUGUACUUCUUUCCCAUCUUCUCCUAUAUCUAAACUGGUCCCCUUUUUGCUCCUCCUCCUCUCUCUCUUCCAGAAUCCUUUGGAUCUCUGCUUGUCAGAGAUUAUUCUCUUCCUCCUACUGGUUAGUACUGUAGCAUUUACACUUUGGUGUGAUCGUCUUUCUUCUUGGGUUUCAUAGGGUCUGUGAGUUGUAUCAUGGGCAUUUAAUCAUACCUCUCUCGUUGGUUGGUUUUAAUCAUAUCACAUCUUCAAUUUCCUAGGCAUUUUGUCACUAUUUGGCAUGAGCUCCCUUUCCUGGCAUGUGCCUCAAAUUAGAUCAGUCGUUAGUUGGCCACUCCCACAAGUUCUGCUUCUGCAUUGUGUCAGCACAUCUUGCAGUUAAGAUACAAAGUAGGACUCAAAUUUUGUGGAUGGAUUGGUGUCCCAGUCCAACCACCAGAAGCCUUGCUUGUUUACAGUCAAUGGCAUGCCCAGCCUUCAAAUUCUUCUUACCAGGCCUCCUAAUUGAUUCCUGGAAGUUUCUACUGCACUAGGUUUUUAUAUGGCCACUCAAAAUGCCUUUCAAUGACCUCAUACUCUCCUUUCAUUCUUCCCCAAUCACCUGAUCUCUUCUGUCCCCAUCCCUACCCACCCCAAAGAACAUUCCCCAAAAAUCUGUUCUAUUUCUUCUUUCUAAGGAAACCCAUGUGUCUCCCUUAGAGUCUUUCUUGCUAUAUAGCCUUUCUGGGUCUGUAGACGUAGCAUGAGUGUCAAUUACUUAUCAGUUAAAAUGAUCAAUGGGGGAAACUCAAAUGGCUGAGGAGCACACAAAGAGACGUUCAACAUCCUUGGCCGACAGGGAGAUACAAAUCAGUACUACUUUGAGAUUCCAUCUUAACAACUCUCAGGAUGGCUGAGGUUUCACCAUUAUCAAACUCUUGUGCAUUUGAUGCUUGCCUAUGGCGAGGCAGUGGCCCCUACUUGUUUAAGAUGGAGAAACAUCAGGACUACAUUAAGGAAGGAAUGUUUUAUUUAAAGCCUCCGUUGGUAACACACUACCCUAUUUCCCCUUACAAUUUGCUCACUCUAAUUGUUAAAACAUUUCCUGCUAUUUCUGAGCUGUGGAGACCACAAAAAUGUACAGAUGAUGCUCGACCAGGUCUACAUAGAGGAGCAAGUUUGUCUUUCAUCUGUCUUUUAAAAGUGUUUGAGACACUUCUUGGAUUACUUGUUCCUCUUUUACUACUACUUGUUAUUUAGAACUAACCUCCUUAAUGAUACAGGUUUUUAACUGAGUAGUUAGUGAGUCCUCAACGUUCGGAAAGUUUCGAGUGAAAUUCAGCAAGACAGAACACAGACAAGCAAACCCACCAGUAGAUGUAUAGGAAGAAAUGUAGCUGCAAAACUGAUUGCAGUGUGAACUGGGGAUUGUUGGACUCUAUUCCCUGAUUUAUAGUUCUAUUUUAAAGAAUGUAAAAUGCUAUCUCACUUUUAAAAUUUGGGGUAUCUGUUGUAAUUUAAUUUUCAAGGUGAAUUACAAACAAGGAGAAAUUCUUUUAUCAGAUAUUUAGAAACUAAUGGCAUUCUCGAUUAUUUGACAAAACUUUUAAGUACCUAAAUAACAUUAUUAAUCUUAACAGAAUCCAGUUCCAUUUCAGGCAUAAGAUUCUACUUCCGGAGAACAAUUACAUGUGUUAAGAUUUAACUAAAUUUUCCUACUGCCCUGCGUUCUCAAUUUUCUCUGUAUAUCUCAUAUCUCUCAGAGCUCCCAACAUGAGAAAUGAGAAAUGAAAGUAAAUCAAUACCCAGAUGUGUCAAACAUAUUUUAAUCAAGUUUCUCUGUGAAAGAAGACAAUUGUUUUGUGAAGCAUUCCGAACAUAAUAGACUUUAUGAUGGCAUGAAGGAUGAGCUCUGGGGUCCUAUUCAUGUUUGACAUUCUAUAAAGGGCUGAGAAAACACUUUUUGAAGGAAGAUCAACAAGAUAAAAAAGGUCUCAGUUUGCAGAUUUCUGAUUGUAGUGAAAGAACUUUGACACUCCAGACUGAAGGGCUCUGGGUUCCAACUGAAAGAUGAUCAGAUGUGUAAGUUUUGAUCAUUUCUAAUUCGCAUCAGGACAAGAGAUUGUCAAGCACUCUAAUAUGCUCAAUUAGAAACAAAAGAGAGAGCAAAUGCUUAUCGUUUUUCAUAAUCCCUCAUAAAUGGGAAGGGGAACAUACUUGAGCCAUUUUUAAUCAAUGAAAAGACUGUUCUUUCAAUGACUUUGUUGUGAUUCUUAGCCCUGAAGGACCACAGCCAAUACUGUAGUGACUACUGCUUUUCUAGUCAUAAAAUACCUAUGAGAACUCCAGAUGUUGCCUAUGAGGCCAGUUGUUAAUGGGGCAAGUGAGGAUUCAUUCCACACCCAUUUGGUACUUUGGUCCUGAAAUGUGAACUAGUCUGUAGUCUAUAUCCCACCCACAUGCCAGAAUGCACCUGCAAAAGUCUUCAAUUUGAGAACUUUUAAAUCAGAAACAGACACCGUGA